RNA transcript from Nannospalax galili (Upper Galilee mountains blind mole rat), 930 nucleotides. It is a transcript of the gene named protein ZNF738-like, with no coding region annotated. The record is from RefSeq and is a predicted model, not a curated record. NCBI's taxonomy places the organism in Eukaryota, Metazoa, Chordata, Mammalia, Rodentia, Spalacidae. The transcript has 4 exons.
AGGAUCUAUUGAUAUUCAAGGAUCUGUCCAUAGAUUUCUCCCAGAAGGAGUGGAAAUUCCUAGACUUUGGUCAGAGGACUUUGUACAAGAAGGUGAUGUUGGAGAACUAUAGCAAUCUGAUGUCUAUAGGUCUUGCUGUGUGUAAACCUGUUCUGGUCUCCUGUCUGGAGGAAAGCAAAGAGUCCUGGAAUGUGAAGAGAGGGGAGACUGUAGCCAACCAGUUAGGACUGAGUUGAUGAAGGAGGGUGGGCCACUGGCAGGCAGGAGAGGAGAAACUUCUAUCGCAGUCUCCAUGUUGAGCUCUACCUUCCUGCACAUCUACUGUGGCGGCAGAUAGGAAAACGGCCUAUUUGGUUUUCUGUCGUACUUCUUCCUCUUGUUUAUUGGCAGAUGAAGUGGAUUUUCAGUGAACUGAAGGAAGUUUCUUGAAAGAAAGAGAAGAUUCUUAAUAUAUUGCUUGGAAAGGAAACUCACAGAAGGAGGAGAGAGAUGGCCUCUUUUCAGAGGUCUUGCUGUGUGUAAACCUGUUCUGGCCUCCUGUCUGGAGCAAAGGAAAGAGCCCUGGAAUGUGAAGAGAGGGGAGACUGUAGCCAACCAGGUAGGUUUGAGUGGAUGAAGGAGAGGCCCCGGUGAGAGGUCCUAAGUAAAGAAGGAUGAAGACCAGAACAUGGUUUUGCCAUAGUCUAUUCCACUAGAAAAAGAUUCUGAUAAUUUAAUUUAUAUCAGUUUCAUCAAGAUUUUACCUGUAGUAAACGUCAAAUGAAUUCUUUUAUUGUGUGUGAAUUAUGUGGCAAUUACUAGUAUGAAAACAUCACUUGAUUUAAUUAUUUAAUUUUACCUGCUGAAUAAUUUUUCUGAGUUGUAGAUCAGAUGAAAACAAUCCACAAUUGACGGUGGGGUAAUGUGAGAGGAAACAGAUAAAAUUCAGUU